This 252-nucleotide ribosomal RNA is filed under the name uncultured bacterium. RNAcentral's name for it is "partial 16S ribosomal RNA". It matches the Rfam family "Bacterial small subunit ribosomal RNA", at positions 524 to 776 of the family's 1533-position model. The record is from RNAcentral.
UACGGAGGAUGCGAGCGUUAUCCGGAUUUAUUGGGUUUAAAGGGUGCGUAGGCGGACGCUUAAGUCAGCGGUAAAAUUGCGGGGCUCAACCCCGCCCAGCCGUCGGAACUGCCGGGCUAGAGUGGGCGAGAAGUGCGCGGAAUGCGUGGUGUAGCGGUGAAAUGCAUAGAUAUCACGCAGAACUCCGAUUGCGAAGGCAGCGCACCGGCGCCCUACUGACGCUCAGGCACGAAAGCGUGGGUAUCGAACAGG